GUGGGGAAUAUUGGACAAUGGGCGCAAGCCUGAUCCAGCCAUGCCGCGUGUGUGAAGAAGGCCUUUUGGUUGUAAAGCACUUUAAGCGAGGAGGAGGCUACCCUGACUAAUAAUUAGGAGUAGCGGACGUUACUCGCAGAAUAAGCACCGGCUAACUCUGUGCCAGCAGCCGCGGUAAUACAGAGGGUGCGAGCGUUAAUCGGAAUUACUGGGCGUAAAGCGCGCGUAGGCGGUUUAUUAAGUCGGAUGUGAAAUCCCUGAGCUUAACUUAGGAAUUGCAUUCGAUACUGGUAAGCUAGAGUAUGGGAGAGGAAGGUAGAAUUCCAGGUGUAGCGGUGAAAUGCGUAGAGAUCUGGAGGAAUACCGAUGGCGAAGGCAGCCUUCUGGCCUAAUACUGACGCUGAGGUGCGAAAGCAUGGGGAGCAAACAGGAUUAGAAACCCGAGUAGUCC
Molecule: ribosomal RNA, 451 nt
Filed under: uncultured bacterium
Lineage: Bacteria
Description: bacterial SSU rRNA
Rfam family: Bacterial small subunit ribosomal RNA
Source: RNAcentral